This 754-nucleotide ribosomal RNA is filed under the name uncultured Actinomyces sp. RNAcentral's name for it is "bacterial SSU rRNA". It matches the Rfam family "Bacterial small subunit ribosomal RNA", at positions 28 to 776 of the family's 1533-position model. Lineage: Bacteria; Bacillati; Actinomycetota; Actinomycetes; Actinomycetales; Actinomycetaceae. The record is from RNAcentral.
GACGAACGCUGGCGGCGUGCUUAACACAUGCAAGUCGAACGAAAAUACCAAGCUUGCUUGGUUGAUUAGUGGCGAACGGGUGAGUAACACGUGAGUAACCUGCCCCUUACUUUCCUGGAUAACUGCUCGAAAGGGUAGCUAAUACGGGAUAUUCUGACCAGUCUGCAUGGGUUGGUUUGGAAAGGUUGUUUUUCUGGUAAGGGAUGGGCUCGCGGCCUAUCAGCUUGUUGGUGGGGUGAUGGCCUACCAAGGCUUUGACGGGUAGCCGGCCUGAGAGGGUGGACGGUCACACUGGGACUGAGAUACGGCCCAGACUCCUACGGGAGGCAGCAGUGGGGAAUAUUGCACAAUGGGCGCAAGCCUGAUGCAGCGACGCCGCGUGAGGGAUGAAGGCCUUCGGGUUGUAAACCUCUUUCGUCAGGGAACAAGGCACUGCUUUGGUGGUGUUGAGGGUACCUGGAUAAGAAGCGCCGGCUAACUACGUGCCAGCAGCCGCGGUAAUACGUAGGGCGCAAGCGUUGUCCGGAAUUAUUGGGCGUAAAGAGCUCGUAGGCGGCUGGUCGCGUCUGUCGUGAAAACUUCCGGCUCAACCGGGGGCUUGCGGUGGGUACGGGCCGGCUAGAGUGCGGUAGGGGUAACUGGAACUCCUGGUGUAGCGGUGGAGUGCGCAGAUAUCAGGAAGAACACCGAUGGCGAAGGCAGGUUACUGGGCCGUUACUGACGCUGAGGAGCGAAAGCGUGGGGAGCGAACAGG